UCUGAAUGCUACUAUACUCUUACUAAUCUUUGUGUAAUUUCCCGAUUUGAAGCAAGCAUCUAUUUUUCAAGUAAUUCCUUAUUAACAAGAUACUAUAUAUCUGCAGAAUGUUGAGUAUUUAAGAACUACCAUCGCGUUGGCCGUGAUUGGUUUUAUUUCACUCAUACUCUGCAUCGUGAGCGCUACCGUUGCGAUUGGCAGUGUUAGUUGUUGCCGAGCUGGCUGCUGUAAAACUUAUGGGGGCAACCCACAAGUUGUUUGUGUACAACAACCACCGCAGCAAGUCGUCGUUUCACCUGGCGCAAAGCAAGGCAUGGUACACCAAAAUGAAUAUGCAACGUCAACAGAUGGCCCUCCGUUAGAAAAGCAGGCAGAAGCAAAUGCUUUCCGAAGUUAGAGAACGUUGAUCCACUCAGCAAUUAAUAACAAUUGCAAGAG
This is a non-coding RNA of Ciona intestinalis (vase tunicate), 438 nucleotides long. NCBI's taxonomy places the organism in Eukaryota, Metazoa, Chordata, Ascidiacea, Phlebobranchia, Cionidae. The record is from RefSeq and is a predicted model, not a curated record.